CAAGGAAAGGAAACUAAUUUAAUAACUGUUUUGAGUGUGUGAGUAUAAAGAACUUUGCAAAUAUGUCUGUCUUCUAACAAGAUGCUGGGAGAUAUUAGCACAUAGUUAACAUGUCUCUUCUCAUCUUUAAUUUUUUUUUGUUCUGGAUUUUUUUCUCCCCCAAAUGAUAAUCUGUUUCAAGGGUGAAAUUUAAAUCAGACUUUGACAUUUUUGACCUGUGAGACUUGCUUUGCAUCUUAUGCUGUGCUGUGGUUCCCAGUCCUUUGAAGACUUGAACUAGAUAAUUGAGGAAGGUGGACUGUAGACAACUUGGAUUAGGUAACUGUAGACUCUAAUUAGGCUCUAAUUCAUAAUGGAGUCCUCUAUCCUGGUUUUGGCUGGGAUAGAGUUAAUCUUCUUAGUAGCUUGUACGUGCUGUGUUUUGGAUUUAAUAUGAGAAUAAUGUUGAUAACACACUGUUUCAGUUGUUCCAAAGUAGUGCUGACUCUAAAUCAAGGACUUUUCAGAUUCCUGUGCUCUGCCAGUGAAGAGGUCCACAGGCAACUGGGAGGGAGAAUAGCCAGGACAGCUGACCUGAACUGCCCAGAGGGAUAUUCCAUACCAUAGAACAUCGUGUUCAGUGUAUAAACUGGGGGGAGUUGGCUGGGCAGAGCCAUUUGCUGCUUGGGGAUGGUUUGGCUGUCAGUCAGCUGGUGGUGAACAAUUGUAUUGUGCAUCACUUGCUUCUCUUGGGUUUUGUUUUUUGCCCUCUGGGCAGCAGGACACACUUCUGACCAGAAAUAGGCUGGAAGCUCUAGGACAGUUCUUGCAGAGCCUUACGAGUCUUGCAGAGAGACUUGUGAAGCAUCCAGUUCUUGAAGGGCACAAGAGUUGCAGUUAGCAGUGAAUGAAUCAGUGAUAUGCUACUUCUUCACAUACAUGAACCAUAACUGUACUCCUUGCCUCCUUAUCUAUAUUUAUUAAACCAAACUAAAACCAAACCAAACAAAAAAAUCCACCUAAACAAAUCACUACAUCAUUAAUACAAAAUGAUUUUUUGAAUUUCCUGUUAAGUUUAUUUAAGAAAAAAACAAAGCAAAGUUACAGCUCUGUUAACAGUAUUUUGACAUGUUGCAUGUCAAGCACUUCCUAAUUUUCUUGUUCAUUAGGCUGAGCAUAUACCAUGCUGUAUGCACUUUAGUGUUGUCAGUAUUCAACUUGCAUCUGGAAAUAUUCUUUCCUCAUGUCUUCUAUUGCAUGCAGGGCAUCUGGUACAGAGUAGUCUCAUGUUACAGAAAAUUAGUACUCCUAAUUUUAUAUUAAAAUUGUAUAUCUGAAUGUAUAUUCAUCAGAGGAUAAAGAUUAUGGAUAUGAUGAUUGCAUCGAUGUUUGCUGACUUUGAAUGAGGACUUCAAUAUGAAAUGCUGCAGCAGUUCGUUAGGAUACAUGCCUGGAAUAAAGACAAGUACAACAGUCAUUCAAACGCUACAAAAUAUAUUUUAUUGCAGUGAGAGUAAAAAACUAUUAGCAAAGAGAAUCAAAAUCUAAAAAAGAAUACAAAAAACCUACUUUAUCUAUUGGUGUUCAUACAAUACUACGAACAGCCUCUAUUACAGUAUUAGCUAGUGAAAAAAAAAGGGAAUUAAAAGGAUACAAAAAGGGAUAUAAAAAGUUUGCUUUCUCGGUUGCUUCCUGUCAAUAAACUGUGCUUACCUGCACAGGCAGGCCAAGGCCACCAGGAUCUGCAGCGGCUGGUCAGCACCCAUCUUAGCGGGCGUCCCUGUGGAGCAACACAGUCUCGAUGGAGGGAUGAGUAUCGCUUGACCCCGCAGUCCUGACACCCCAUUUUAUCAGCUCUACGUUACACUGUGUGGGGCCAGUACGCAGUAUAAGAAUCUGACCUGUAGAUGAGAAGGCCUGGACUACCUGAAGAUGAGCAAAAUCAUUCAGAAGAGUUAUGUGACAUCUUCUCACAUCUAAUAGAUUGAAUAAACUGCCUCUGAAAUGCUUUGGCCACUCAUGACUCUAAAAACCUUUUAAUAAGCUUUCAAAUGAACUGAGACUGAUUUGGGAGCUGCCAUCUGCUGUUGUAUACUCGAAAGAUGACAUUUCUUUUCAUUCCUCAACAAAUCUAGGCAUUAUAUUGGUAAAAUUAAGAUAAAACAGUAUCUCUAUAUCUGGGGAACCUGGUCACGUAGCCUCUCAAGAAUGACUAAUUUUUGUGAAUCAGUGUAAUAUUUGGUGUGAUACAAAUAAUUGUCUUUCAUCAAAUUUGUUUUCAGUUACCUGGAUCCCUUGCAGUACUUAGUUUGCUGGGAUGAUUGUGGGAUGCUGUCAUGAUAUUUCUCAGGACAUAGUGUCCUGACCUUUUUCUGCUUGUGAGUGGAUACACUUACAGAACUUUUUGCUUCUCAAUUCUUUGGGCUAGUAUGAUCUUUCCUCCCCUUUGUUUUUAAGCUUCUGACACUGAAAAAUAUGUCAAAAUGUUGACAGGAGAGUUUGAAGAGCAAAUAGUCAAAGAGCGUGGAAGAGGAAGCUGUGGCCAGUACUGGAGUCAGACUGAGAUGGGAAUGGGAUGUGUGGGUUGCUUUUUGUGCUUUUGCCAAAUAAUAUAGGUUGCAAAUGUCUAAAACUACUGCUGGCUUUCUCUAUUAUGCUCUUAACUUCAGUGAAGUAGAUUAUAUGUGAUGUUUUCCUAUACCUGACAAAGGAAUACAUCUUUUUUAAAAGUAUAAUAUGUCUUUAAGUUUUUUGCCAUUUUAUGACUAUAAUAAAAGUUGUGAAAUGGGA
This is a long non-coding RNA of Myiozetetes cayanensis, 2769 nucleotides long. RefSeq lists it as uncharacterized. The transcript has 2 exons. The record is from RefSeq and is a predicted model, not a curated record. NCBI's taxonomy places the organism in Eukaryota, Metazoa, Chordata, Aves, Passeriformes, Tyrannidae.